This 894-nucleotide ribosomal RNA is filed under the name uncultured Pseudomonas sp. RNAcentral's name for it is "bacterial SSU rRNA". It matches the Rfam family "Bacterial small subunit ribosomal RNA", at positions 54 to 943 of the family's 1533-position model. Lineage: Bacteria; Pseudomonadati; Pseudomonadota; Gammaproteobacteria; Pseudomonadales; Pseudomonadaceae. The record is from RNAcentral.
CAUGCAGUCGAGCGGUAGAGAGAAGCUUGCUUCUCUUGAGAGCGGCGGACGGGUGAGUAAUGCCUAGGAAUCUGCCUGGUAGUGGGGGAUAACGUUCGGAAACGGACGCUAAUACCGCAUACGUCCUACGGGAGAAAGCAGGGGACCUUCGGGCCUUGCGCUAUCAGAUGAGCCUAGGUCGGAUUAGCUAGUUGGUGAGGUAAUGGCUCACCAAGGCGACGAUCCGUAACUGGUCUGAGAGGAUGAUCAGUCACACUGGAACCGAGACACGGUCCAGACCCCUACGGGAGGCAGCAGUGGGGAAUAUUGGACAAUGGGCGAAAGCCUGAUCCAGCCAUGCCGCGUGUGUGAAGAAGGUCUCCGGAUUGUAAAGCACUUAAAGUUGGGAGGAAGGGCAGUUACCUAAUACGUGAUUGUUUUGACGUUACCGACAGAAUAAGCACCGGCUAACUCUGUGCCAGCAGCCGCGGUAAUACAGAGGGUGCAAGCGUUAAUCGGAAUUACUGGGCGUAAAGCGCGCGUAGGUGGUUAGUUAAGUUGGAUGUGAAAUCCCCGGGCUCAACCUGGGAACUGCAUUCAAAACUGACUGACUAGAGUAUGGUAGAGGGUGGGUGGAAUUUCCUGUGUAGCGGUGAAAUGCGUAGAUAUAGGAAGGAACACCAGUGGCGAAGGCGACCACCUGGACUGAUACUGACACUGAGGUGCGAAAGCGUGGGGAGCAAACAGGAUUAGAUACCCUGGUAGUCCACGCCGUAAACGAUGUCAACUAGCCGUUGGGAGCCUUGAGCUCUUAGUGGCGCAGCUAACGCAUUAAGUUGACCGCCUGGGGAGUACGGCCGCAAGGUUAAAACUCAAAUGAAUUGACGGGGGCCCGCACAAGCGGUGGAGCAUGUG